CCCCUAGACGUUCUGGGCUGCACGCGCGCUACAAUAAUACGCACAGCGAGUAUCACCGAGCUCGAAAGGGCAAGGUAAACAAUAGAAAAGGUACUGUAAUGGUUAUAGAGCCUUGUAAUUAUUGAUCUUCAACGAGGAAUUCCUAGUAAGUAUGUGUCAUCAUCACGCACUGAUUACGUCCCUGCCCUUUGUACACACCGCCCGUCGCUCCUACCGAUUGGGUGAGCCGAUGAAACUCUCGGAUGUAGGCUAUUCAUAGCCCGCAGAAGAGAUUUGAAUCGUAGCGCUUAGAGGAAGGAGAAGUCGUAACA
RNAcentral lists this ribosomal RNA (311 nucleotides) under uncultured eukaryote. RNAcentral describes it as "partial 18S ribosomal RNA". It matches the Rfam family "Eukaryotic small subunit ribosomal RNA", at positions 1470 to 1796 of the family's 1831-position model. The record is from RNAcentral.